UGGGGAAUAUUUGGCAAUGGGUGAAAGCCUGACCAAGCAAUGCCGCAUGAAGGAUGAAGGCCCUCGGGUCGUAAACUUCUUUUCUCAUUGAAGAAUUAUUGACGGUAUUUGAGGAAUAAGCAUCGGCUAACUUCGUGCCAGCAGCCGCGGUAAUACGAGGGAUGCAAGCGUUAUCCGGAAUUAUUGGGCGUAAAGCGUCUGUAGAUGGUUUAUUAAGUUUAUUGUUAAAUACUAGAGCUUAACUCUUGACCGGCAUUAAAAACUGAUAGACUAGAGUACAAUAGAGGUAAAGGGAAUUUCCAGUGUAGUGGUGAAAUACGUAGAGAUUGGAGAGAACACCAAUGGCGAAAGCACUUUGCUAGGUUGAUACUGACAUUGAGAGACGAAAGCUAGGGGAGCG
This 400-nucleotide ribosomal RNA is filed under the name uncultured bacterium. RNAcentral describes it as "bacterial SSU rRNA". It matches the Rfam family "Bacterial small subunit ribosomal RNA", at positions 355 to 770 of the family's 1533-position model. The record is from RNAcentral.